RNAcentral lists this ribosomal RNA (473 nucleotides) under uncultured organism. RNAcentral describes it as "partial 16S ribosomal RNA". It matches the Rfam family "Bacterial small subunit ribosomal RNA", at positions 331 to 796 of the family's 1533-position model. The record is from RNAcentral.
GUACACUCCUGCGGGAGGCAGCAGUGGGGAAUUUUGGACAAUGGGCGAAAGCCUGAUCCAGCAAUGCCGCGUGCAGGAUGAAGGCCUUCGGGUUGUAAACUGCCUUUGUACGGAACGAAAAAGCUCCUUCUAAUACAGGGGGCCCAUGACGGUACCGUAAGAAUAAGCACCGGCUAACUACGUGCCAGCAGCCGCGGUAAUACGUAGGGUGCGAGCGUUAAUCGGAAUUACUGGGCGUAAAGCGUGCGCAGGCGGUUAUGUAAGACAGAUGUGAAAUCCCCGGGCUCAACCUGGGAACUGCAUUUGUGACUGCAUGGCUAGAGUACGGUAGAGGGGGAUGGAAUUCCGCGUGUAGCAGUGAAAUGCGUAGAUAUGCGGAGGAACACCGAUGGCGAAGGCAAUCCCCUGGACCUGUACUGACGCUCAUGCACGAAAGCGUGGGGAGCAAACAGGAUUAGAUACCCGAGUAGUCC